CACGUAGGGUGCGAGCGUUGUCCGGAAUUAUUGGGCGUAAAGAGCUCGUAGGCGGUGUGUCGCGUCGGCCGUGAAAACCUGCAGCUUAACUGUGGGCUUGCGGUCGAUACGGGCAUCACUGGAGUUCGGCAGGGGAGACUGGAAUACUUGGUGUAGCAGUGAAAUGCGUAGAUAUCAAGUGGAACACCAGUGGCGAAGGCGAGUCCCUGGACAACUCCUGACACUGAGGCACGAAAGCUAGGGGAGCAAACAGG
Molecule: ribosomal RNA, 254 nt
Filed under: uncultured bacterium
Lineage: Bacteria
Description: partial 16S ribosomal RNA
Rfam family: Bacterial small subunit ribosomal RNA
Source: RNAcentral